AAGUCGUAACAAGGUUUCCGUAGGUGAACCUGCGGAAGGAUCAUUACAUUCAGUAGCUUGCUACUGGUCGGGAGGCGCUGUAACUCCGCAUAGUAUUCAUUUACUGAUGAGCAGCUGGCCCUCUGUCUGUACCCUUGUCUUUUGCGCACUCAUGUUUCCUCGGCGGGCUUGCCCGCCGACUGGACAAAACUAUAACCUUUUUAAUUUUCAAUCAGCGUCUGAAAAAACUUAAUAAUUACAA
This 241-nucleotide unclassified non-coding RNA is filed under the name plant metagenome. RNAcentral describes it as "partial contains small subunit ribosomal RNA and internal transcribed spacer 1". The stretch from base 1 to 46 matches the Rfam family "Eukaryotic small subunit ribosomal RNA", at positions 1786 to 1831 of the family's 1831-position model. The record is from RNAcentral.